RNAcentral lists this ribosomal RNA (253 nucleotides) under uncultured bacterium. RNAcentral's name for it is "partial 16S ribosomal RNA". It matches the Rfam family "Bacterial small subunit ribosomal RNA", at positions 524 to 776 of the family's 1533-position model. The record is from RNAcentral.
UACGUAGGGACCAAGCGUUGUCCGGAUUUAUUGGGCGUAAAGAGCUCGUAGGCGGCCCUCCACGUCGGAUGUGAAAGCUCAGGGCUCAACCCUGAGAUGCCAUUCGAUACGGGAAGGCUAGAGGUAGGUAGGGGAAAGUGGAAUUCCUGGUGUAGCGGUGAAAUGCGCAGAUAUCAGGAGGAACACCGGUGGGGAAGGCGGCUUUCUGGGCCUUACCUGACACUGAGGAGCGAAAGCUGGGGGAGCGAACAAG